CCAACCCAAAUUCAAACCCUAACAGGUGUCGAUCAUCCUCCACGCAUACCGCGUCUCGUUGUCUUAGCCCAUUACUUCGAUCCCCAAAUUUCCAAAUUCACAAAACAAAACAAACCCUGACAGCCGCAUCCUCUCUCGUACGGUUAUCCUUCUCGUUUUGGCAGCUCGUCUACGCCGCUCCACGUUAGCUGGGUCGGGUUUUCGGGUUAACAAGUCCAGCUCUCUCUCUCUCUCUCUCUCCCUCUCUCUCGGGUAUUCUCUCUCAAAAAAAUACAAACCUGUUUCCCCCCUUUUCCAGUUAUACAAUUCUGCCCUUUUUUUUUUUUUUUAAGCUUAAUACAAAUUAAGCUCAAUUCGGACCCGUGAUGAAAAUAAAAUCCGGCCAUCGGCGCGUGUAAUCGCGCUCAAUUAUUCUCGAUAAAAUGUCGUGACGAAAUUAAAAAAAAUUGAUAGCGAAGAGGAAAAUGAAAUCACUCACUUAAUUAAGAAAAUCGGAGUGCAUAUGUUACAAUCCUCCCCUCUUAUAAAAAUUUCGUCCUCGAAAUUUACACAUCUGUUGAGAAUAAGUGAGGGUAUUGAGCUCGCAUUAAGUCUUCACGUUCCCAAGUAGCCUCUUCUCUUGUGUGAUUCCUCCACAACACUUUUACUAGCGGAAUGGUUCUUGAACGCAAAACUUGGUGCUUCUGUUCUAGAAUUUCCACGGGCUCUUCUUCAUAACUCAAGUCUUCUUUCAACUCAAUUGGUUGUCUCGACAACACAUGACUAGGAUCAUACACAUACUUCCAGAGCAUCGAAACAUGAAAGACAUCGUGGAUUCUGGAUAACUCAGGUGGUAGAGCUAAUCGAUAUGCCAACGGACCAAUACGCUCCACAAUCUCAUAUGGUCCAAUGUAACGUGGACUCAACUUCCCGCGCUUACCAAAUCGAAGUACCCCUUUCCAAGGAGAUAUCCGCAUGAAAACCUUAUCACCUACUUCAAACUCAAGUUCCCGCCUACGCUUAUCUGCAUAGCUCUUUUGUCUGCUCUAGGCUGCCUUUAAUCUUUCCCGAAUAAGCUGUAUCUUCUCACUAGUAUUUUGAACCAAUUCGGGACCAAAAAGUUUCCGCUCUCCAACCUCAUCCCAACAUACGGGAGUUCUGCAUUUCCUGCCAUACAAGGCCUCAUAAGGUGCCAUCUCGAUACUAGCUUGAUAACUAUUAUUAUAAGCAAACUCCAUCAAGGGUAAAUAAAUGUCCCAACUACCCCUAAACUCCAAAAUACAAGCUCGUAACAUAUCCUCCAGGGUUUGAAUAGUACGCUCUGACUGACCAUCAGUCUGUGGGUGAAAAACUGUACUGAAGUUCAACUUGGUGCCUAAAGCCUUUUGCAAACUUGUCCAGUGGCCUCCCUGGUGAUCGUGGUUGGUCGGAAAUUGUUGCUGAAGAUGUGAAGAACCAGUUCCAAGUGGUGGCGCGUCACAAACCCGGCGGAAUCAACGGCGACGGAAAAGGAUCUUGGCCGCGACUUUCGAGCUCCAAUCGCCGACGUUCUGGCCAGUUUUCGGCGACGAGGACCACGGGGAUACGACGGUCAGCUUCCAAGCUUCAGAUCGGUACCAAGCACGGCCGGUAAGGUGGCCGGAAACGGGAGAACUCGUCGGGUCAAUAUCGCGGAAUCGGGUCGGGUUUUCAGGUUAACAGGUCCAGCUCUCUCUCUCUCUCUCUCUCUCUCUCCCUCUCUCUCGGGUAUUCUCUCUCAAAAAAAUACAAACCUGUUUCCCCCCUUUUCCAGUUAUACAAUUCUGCCCUUUUUUUUUUUUUUUAAGCUUAAUACAAAUUAAGCUCAAUUCGGACCCGUGAUGAAAAUAAAAUCCGGCCAUCGGCGCGUGUAAUUGCGCUCAAUUAUUCUCGAUAAAAUGUCGUGAUGAAAUUAAAAAAAGUUAAUAGCGAAGAGGAAAAUUAAAUCACUCACUUAAUUAAGAAAAUCGGAGUGCAUAUGUUACAGGAAUGCCGUAAGUUUUAAAAUAAUAGUUGUGCUGGAGAAUAAGCUAAACAUUUAAUAAAAUUUAAUUUUUGAAAGUGUUGUCAAUUUUAAAAGUAUUCAUAUGUAUUUAGUCAAUUUUAUUGUUGAAAUGCUAUAAAAAUAUAAAUGACUAAAAUAAGCAUAAUGCUAAAUAAAAUUUAUUUACACAUUUAUAAACAUGUAUAUAUAAAUUUUUUUAUUUUGAAUAUAUAAUGAUUGACAACUAAAAUAAUUUUUUAUUUGUUAUCUCAGUAUAAUUGGUAAAAGCAAUAAUCUUCUUUAAAUUUAAUACUUUUAUUUCCUAUUUAAAUAAACAUAAUUUUUUAUUUUUAUAAUCUAUGUGAGAAUAUAUCUGAAAUUGAAUUAGAUUUAAAUAUGUUUCUUGAAAUCAGACGUUAAAAUACUACUCAUUUCAUGCCUUGAGUUCUUGAAAACCCUUUUCACAAUCAUCAUUCCACUGGAACUUAGCAUUCUUUCUGGUUAACCUUGUCAGAGGAAUAACAAUCUUGGAGAAUCCUUCCACAAAUCUUCGAUAAUAGCCAGCUAAUCCAAGGAAACUUCGAACUUUAGUCACAUUUGUAGGCCGUUCCCAAUUUACAACUGCUUCGAUCUUUUGAGGAUCAACAUAAAUUCCUUCAGCUGAUAUCACAUGGCCUAGAAAUACUACUUUAUCCAACCAGAACUCACACUUGAUACUAGCUUGAUAACUAUUAUUAUAAGCAAACUCCAUCAAGGGUAAAUAAAUGUCCCAACUACCCCUAAACUCCAAAAUACAAGCUCGUAACAUAUCCUCCAGGGUUUGAAUAGUACGCUCUGACUGACCAUCAGUCUGUGGGUGAAAAACUGUACUGAAGUUCAACUUGGUGCCUAAAGCCUUUUGCAAACUUGUCCAGAACUUAGAAGUAAAUCGGGAAUCUCUAUCUGAAACAAUAGACACAGGUGCUCCGUGAAGUCGAACUAUCUCAGCCACAAAAAUAUUCCCCAACUUGUCCAUCGAAUAAGUGGUCUUGAAUUGUAAAAAGUGAGUAGAUUUGGUAAGUCGAUCAACAACUACCCAUACACUAUCAUGACCACUCUGAGUACGUGGAAGUCCCGUUACAAAAUCCAUGGUGAUGUGCUCCCAUUUCCACUCGGGGAUAGGAAGCGGCUGAGAAAACCCUGCAGGUCUCUGAUGUUCAGCCUUAAUCUGCUGACAAACUAAACACCGAGAUACAAAUUCAGCUAUCUCUCUCUUCAUACCUUGCCACCAGUAAUGAUCUCUCAAGGUACGGUACAUCUUCGUACUACCAGGAUGCAUAGCAUAAGCUGAACAAUGAGCUUCUUCCAUGAUCUCCUUUUUCAACUCCUUAAUGUCGGGUACGCAAAGUCGAUUAUCCAUAACUAAAACUCCAUCAUCUCUCACUGCAAAAUUAGUUCGUAAGCCUUUUUGCACAUCCUCUUUCAACUUCAGUAACUGCAAAUCCUGAUCUUGCAUCUGAUGAACUUUGUCAAUCAAAGUCGGCCUCACUCGAAAAUUAGCUAUUAAAGCUCUGCAAUUAUCAACUUCCAAUUCAACUCCCAAAGAUCUCAACUCAAUUAAUAACGGCAUGUAUGUCCCUCGCAAGUGAGCUAUAGAGCUAAAAGACUUCCUGCUUAGCGCAUCAGCUACCACAUUCGCUUUGCCCGGAUGAAAAUCAAUGGUACAAUCAUAGUCUUUAAUCAGCUCAAUCCAUCUCCUCUGUCUCAAAUUCAACUCCUUCUGAGUAAACAAAUACUUCAAGCUCUUGUGAUCAGUAAAAAUCUGACAUGUUGCUCCAUACAAGUAAUGCCUCCAUAUCUUGAGUGCAAACACCACUGCUGCUAGCUCUAAAUCAUGAGUUGGGUAAUUUUGUUCAUGCUUCUUAAGUUGUCUUGAAGCAUAAGCCACUACCUUCCCAUGUUGCAUUAGCACACAACCCAAUCCUUGCCUGGAUGCAUCACUGUAUACAACAAACCCUUCAGUACCCGAAGGAAGUGUAAGGACUGGUGCUGAAGUAAGACAUGUCUUGAGUUCUUGAAAACUCUUUUCACAAUCAUCAUUCCACUGGAACUUAGCAUUCUUUCUGGUUAACCUUGUCAGAGGAAUAACAAUCUUGGAGAAUCCUUCCACAAAUCUUCGAUAAUAGCCAGCUAAUCCAAGGAAACUUCGAACUUUAGUCACAUUUGUAGGCCGUUCCCAAUUUACAACUGCUUCGAUCUUUUGAGGAUCAACAUAAAUUCCUUCAGCUGAUAUCACAUGGCCUAGAAAUACUACUUUAUCCAACCAGAACUCACACUUGCUGAACUUAGCGUACAAUUGCUUUUGUCUUAAAGUCUGCAAAACAGUCCGCAAGUGCUCCUCAUGUUCCUCCUGACUUCGAGAAUACACCAAAAUAUCGUCGAUAAACACAAUCACAAAUCGAUCUAGAUAAGGGCGAAAUACCCUAUUCAUAAGGUCCAUGAAAGCCGCUGGGGCAUUAGUCAACCCAAAUGGCAUCACUAAAAACUCAUAAUGUCCAUAACGAGUUCUGAAUGCUGUUUUAGGAACAUCGGCCUCUUUAAUUCUAAGCUGAUGAUAUCCCGAGCGCAAAUCGAUCUUAGAAAACACCUUUGCUCCCUGAAGUUGAUCAAACAAGUCAUCGAUGCGCGGAAGUGGAUAUUUAUUACGCACUGUAACUUUAUUCAACUGCCUAUAGUCAAUGCAGAGUCUAAGAGUACCAUCCUUUUUCUUAACAAACAACACCGGAGCUCCCCACGGAGAUACACUAGGUCUAAUAAACUCUUUAUCCACCAAUUCUUGCAGUUGAAUCUUAAGUUCCUUUAAUUCAGCUGGAGCCAUCCUAUAUGGUGCUAUAGAUAUAGGAGCCGUCCCAGGGACUAAAUCAAUAGAGAACUCAAUCUCUCUAUGAGGUGGCAUCCCUGGAAGUUCAUCUGGAAAUACAUCUGAAAACUCUUGGACUACUGGAAUAUCCUCCAAUCUCAACUCCCGAACUCCAGUGGCUAUUACGUAUGCCAGAUAAGCUGAGCAACCUUUCCUUAGUAAGCGUCUUGCAUCAAUGGCCGAUAUGACACAUGAGGGUAAAAUUCUACGCUCACCACAAAAUUUCACCUCAGUUUCUCUUGGUUUGUUGAACACAACUUCCUUUUUAAAACAAUCCACUGUAGCAUGGUGAGACGCAAGCCAAUCCAUGCCCAAAAUGGCAUCAAAAUCUUGAAUGUCUAGAAUAAUCAAAUUCGCCUUAAAUUCAUGCUCGCCCAAUCGAAUCAUGCUAUCUUGAUACACCUUUUCAGCAAGUAAUGACCCUCCGGUAGGUGUACUAACAACUAAACCAUAAUCCAGCAAUUCAGGCUCUCUCUCUAGAUGCAUACUAAAUGUGCGAGAAACAAAAGAAUGCGUGGAUCCAGGAUCAAUAAGAAUAUGAGCAUCAUGACCAAAGAUAGAUAAUGUACCCAUAAUAACUUCUGGUGUAGCAUGAGCCUCCUGCUGUGUCAAGGCAAAAACUCGAGCCUGAGUACGAGGUCGACCAGGUUGACCUCUCUGACUUGGAAAAGUGGUCUGACUCCUCGAUAUAGAACCCCCUGUCUGCAUACCCCUCUGACCCGGAACUGGUCCAACAUGAGAUUGAUACUGUGGGGCUGCCCCUCGAGCAGAAUUGUCACCCUGAGAUAAAGUAGGGCAUAAUCUCUUAAUAUGUCCAGGUUGUCCACAUAAAUAACACACAUUGUCUCCGAUACGGCACUGGCCCUGAUGGUUCCUACCACACGUAGGGCAAGGAGUCUGUUGUAUACUCCUACGGGGUCCUUCGCUAUUCCUGUCAUACUGCCCCUGAGUCCUAACAUUACUCCCCACUGAAGGCUGCGCCGAACCUGGUUUAUUGAACACAACUUCCUUUUUAAAACAAUCCACUGUAGCAUGGUGAGACACAAGCCAAUCCAUGCCCAAAAUGGCAUCAAAAUCUUGAAUGUCUAGAAUAAUCAAAUUCGCCUUAAAUUCAUGCUCGCCCAAUCGAAUCAUGCUAUCUUGAUACACCUUUUCAGCAAGUAAUGACCCUCCGGUAGGUGUACUAACAACUAAACCAUAAUCCAGCAAUUCAGGCUCUCUCUCUAGAUGCAUACUAAAUGUGCGAGAAACAAAAGAAUGCGUGGAUCCAGGAUCAAUAAGAAUAUGAGCAUCAUGACCAAAGAUAGAUAAUGUACCCAUAAUAACUUCUGGUGUAGCAUGAGCCUCCUGCUGUGUCAAGGCAAAAACUCGAGCCUGAGUACGAGGUCGACCAGGUUGACCUCUCUGACUUGGAAAAGUGGUCCAGGUUGUCCACAUAAAUAACACACAUUGUCUCCGAUACGGCAUUGGCCCUGAUGGUUCCUACCACACGUAGGGCAAGGAGUCUGUUGUAUACUCCUACGGGGUCCUCCGCUAUUCCUGUCAUACUGCCCCUGAGUCCUAACAUUACUCCCCACUGAAGGCUGCGCCGAACUGUAACUAGCGGAUUGUCUCUGAUCUCCCCUGCUACUCAUACUCUGAUUCCUUUGCACACUAGCAGAGUAAUUUGUAUACGCGCCUCUCUUCGGCGGCCUGCUACUCGAGCCACCCUCUGUCCAACUCUGGCUACGUUUCUGCUUCAGAGCCUGAAUGAACUCAGUGUACCAUGAUGCCGUCACAGUCGUACGAAUCUCAAAUCGGAGACCCUCUUCAAAACGCUUACAUCUCUCCCUCUC
Molecule: long non-coding RNA, 6715 nt
Filed under: Citrus sinensis (sweet orange)
Lineage: Eukaryota; Viridiplantae; Streptophyta; Magnoliopsida; Sapindales; Rutaceae
Description: long non-coding RNA (CSIN_LNC000868)
Source: RNAcentral